UGAAGUCGGACGCUUAACCGACUGCGCCACCCAGGCGCCCCUUUUUUCGCCCUUUUGAUGAAGGGUAGCUAUUUCUCUCCUUUACCCAGCUCCUAUUACUACAAAACACAAGAAGGCAGAGACGCUUAACAAGUUGCAUUUAAUCUAAGUUCCUUCACUGCCCCAGGUCCAUAGCCCAUUGAGGUCAACAAGUGGUGCCCAAACAGGGACCCUGAAGCCCCCACUGAGGAGAGAUCGACAAGCAUUUGGAACCCUAAAGAAGGUGAUGGAUCCAGUCAACCGAUAUGGACACCUUUUCGGAAAGUCCAGCCCAAGACUAGAUAUCAUCAAGAUAAAGAAGACUCCUCAGCCACCACAAGGCCUGAUGACCCAACCCCCAGUGAACAAGAUGGCAGCACUGACCCUGAAGAGACCCCGAAAAUGGAAGAUGGCUCCGAUCCCUCCUCCCACAUGGUGACAACUAAAGAAUCUCAUACAACGUGUAGAAUGAGUCUUGAAAGCAACUAAAUCCAAUAUAUCAUUUACAAAAUAUUCAGGGAAAUUUAUCU
Molecule: long non-coding RNA, 548 nt
Organism: Felis catus (domestic cat)
Lineage: Eukaryota; Metazoa; Chordata; Mammalia; Carnivora; Felidae
Exons: 3
Source: RefSeq, a predicted model, not a curated record